CCUACGGGAGGCAGCAGUGGGGAAUAUUGCGCAAUGGGCGAAAGCCUGACGCAGCGACGCCGCGUGAGGGAUGAAGGUCUUCGGAUCGUAAACCUCUGUCAGCAGGGAAGAACGGUCACUGUGCUAAUCAGCAGUGAAUUGACGGUACCUGCAAAGGAAGCACCGGCUAACCCCGUGCCAGCAGCCGCGGUAGUACGGAGGGUGCGAGCGUUAAUCGGAAUUACGGGGCGAAAGGCGCUCGUAGGCGGUAUGUCAAGUCAAGGGUGAAAUCCCCGCGCUCAACGUGGGACUGCCUUUGAAACUGGCAGACUGGAGUGUGUGAGAGGAUGGUGGAAUUCCAGGUGUAGGAGUGAAAUCCGUAGAUAUCUGGAGGAACAUCAGUGGCGAAGGCGACUAUCUGGCACAUAACUGACGCUGAGGAGCGAAAGCGUGGGUAGCAAACAGGAUUAGAUACCCCUGUAGUC
This 464-nucleotide ribosomal RNA is filed under the name uncultured bacterium. Its description in RNAcentral is "partial 16S ribosomal RNA". It matches the Rfam family "Bacterial small subunit ribosomal RNA", at positions 338 to 795 of the family's 1533-position model. The record is from RNAcentral.